This 120-nucleotide small nucleolar RNA is filed under the name Aotus nancymaae (Ma's night monkey). Its description in RNAcentral is "Small nucleolar RNA SNORD35 (ENSANAG00000012596.1)". The stretch from base 1 to 59 matches the Rfam family "Small nucleolar RNA SNORD35". Lineage: Eukaryota; Metazoa; Chordata; Mammalia; Primates; Aotidae. The record is from RNAcentral.
GGCAGAUGAUGUCCUUAUCUCACGAUGGUCUGCAGAUGUCCCUGUGGGAAUGUCAACAAGCAAAAAGAAAAUUAGUAAGAACCCUACACUUAACUUUAUCCCCUCACUUUUUGCCAUUUU